RNAcentral lists this ribosomal RNA (249 nucleotides) under uncultured Actinomycetales bacterium. RNAcentral's name for it is "partial 16S ribosomal RNA". It matches the Rfam family "Bacterial small subunit ribosomal RNA", at positions 84 to 334 of the family's 1533-position model. Lineage: Bacteria; Bacillati; Actinomycetota; Actinomycetes; Actinomycetales. The record is from RNAcentral.
GGGGUGCUCGAGUGGCGAACGGGUGAGUAACACGUGAGUAACCUGCCCUUGACUUUGGGGUAACUUCAGGAAACUGGGGCUAAUACCGGAUAGGAGCUCCUGCUGCAUGGUGGGGGUUGGAAAGUUUCGGCGGUUGGGGAUGGACUCGCGGCUUAUCAGCUUGUUGGUGGGGUAGUGGCUUACCAAGGCUUUGACGGGUAGCCGGCCUGAGAGGGUGACCGGCCACAUUGGGACUGAGAUACGGCCCAG